GGCAAAGGCAUUUCCAACCAUUCAACAUACUCCCAAGAGCAUGACAUAGUCUCCCUUUAAUGUCACUAACAAAAUUAGCAGAUAAGGUACUUAUCAAACGACGAAAUCAACUACAAAUAGUUAGAACUACAACAUAAUGCAUACUGUGCAACGAAAUAUCGAAUCCUGAUUAACCUAACAAAUUGACAGUAACAAAUACAUCCCUUAGAAGUAACUACACUGUCUAAGCGCAUCUUCAUCCCGUCACCAACAACUAGCUCUGCCCUGGAACUGCCUUGAUUUUCACAGUCUCCAGCCCUGAAUAAUGUUUGCACUCUCGAGUUAAACCACUGCCUCCAUCUCUGCAACAUCCGGUCCUGCUAACUCUUCUAACUCUUGAAAUGCUGCCAGAGCAGUUGCUGGUGUUUCAGCAUUUAAGCAUGGCCUCAGAGCAUUUGCUGCCUCCCUGAUUCUUGAUUGCAUAUUAUCAAGUUUGCCCUUUAGAUCUUCAUAAGCUACCACCAACUUGGGGUCCGAAACUGCAGGGGAUGUCACAUUCUUUUUCGGUCGACCUAGAGGCUUCCCCGAAAGCUUCCUGGCUCUCUUAACAGUAGAAGUAACCGCUGGACUACUGUAUGCUUUUGGAGGACGUCCGCGUCGCUUUCCAAGGGGCGUAGUAGCCCCAUUUGUGACACCACUAACAGUGUUAGGGAAGCCCUCGGAAUCAAAAGCAGCAGCAAUAGGCACAUCAGUGACACCGACAGAUGCAGCAGCGGGUCCACCUUGAUUGUUAGAUUUUGCUGGCCUUCCCCGUCGUUUAGGGGUUGGUGUUUGAGCAGUAAGGUCACCACCACCAACAGGAAUAUUGGGAUUACCAGAAGGAAUGCUGGCUGCAUCGGCAUUAACACUAACAGACACGUUCUUCCUAGGUCGGCCUCUUCGUCCAGGAGUAGAACCUUUCUUUGGCCGCCCUCUGGGUUUGGAGGAAGCCGCAGCAGAUGCAGGAGAAGAAGCAUUUACUGUGCCAGUCUUAGCAGAACGACCAGGUCGCCUCUUCGUACCACUCUGUUCAGGUGAUUUUGUUUCCAACGACCUUACUACAGUGGAACCAUCCUUCCGAGGACGGCCAGAGCGUCUCUUGUUGUUACUUGCCGGUACCGGAGUUCCAGCAGGAGAAGGAACAGAACCACCUGGAUUCUGAACCCCAACAGGCCCAUCAGCUAACCCAAGAGAAACAAACACAGACUGAGCCCCAAGAUUCGUAUAAUUCUCAGCUUCAUGAGGAGCAGCAAAUCCCUGUGGCUGUUGCUGAGACUGAAAAAGGAUCUGAUUUUGGAGUAACGGAUCAGGCUGAAACUGCUGGAAUUGCGGUUGAGGAACGAACUGAGGCUGGAACUCUGCUUGUUGCUGCUGUUGGGCCUGAAUCUGAGCCCCUUGAAAUGGGUCUUGAUACUGGGCAUCAGGCUUCGACUUCGGAGGACGACCAGGUUUCCGCUUAGAAGGAGUAGCAUCACCCCCAUUUGAAUCAACGGCCGCCGCCUCCGGCGGAGGCGGAGCAGAUCCAGGUGUCGCAAGCAGGUAGGAAUGUUUCACCAUAGCAAGAUAUCCAGAAUUCUUCAAGCGCUUGAGAUGAUGAGUCAACAAAGCGGAGUGAUUGGGUGGUAGAUUUGGGUGGACUCUGUCUAUAUACUUGGCUAUCGCUACCCUGCUUGACCCUUCUUUCUCCUUUAACGCCGUUAUAGCCGCCGUUAUCAACUCAGCAUAAUCAGGUUCGGGAAAGGAGAAAUCAGGGGCUAGGGUAGGGUCUUGGGGAGGGGGGUUAAGGUCAUGGUUAACGAGCUGUGGAGGGUUAUACGUCGGUUGUUCUAUAUCCAUCGGUAGAUCCAUGGAUGGGUCCAUAAGGGCAUGUAUAUAAAUUUAAUUAAAAAAAGCUUAAAAUACAGAAAUGGUGAAAUUCAGAGAAGAAAUCAAGAAGUGAGAGAUAGAGAGAGAGUGU
This 1975-nucleotide unclassified non-coding RNA is filed under the name Hevea brasiliensis (rubber tree). The record is from RNAcentral. Lineage: Eukaryota; Viridiplantae; Streptophyta; Magnoliopsida; Malpighiales; Euphorbiaceae.